GUUUGAUCAUGGCUCAGAUUGAACGCUGGCGGCAGGCCUAACACAUGCAAGUCGAACGGUAACAGGAAGAAGCUUGCUUCUUUGCUGACGAGUGGCGGACGGGGGAGUAAUGUCUGGGAAACUGCCUGAUGGAGGGGGAUAACUACUGGAAACGGUAGCUAAUACCGCAUAACGUCGCAAGACCAAAGAGGGGGACCUUCGGGCCUCUUGCCAUCGGAUGUGCCCAGAUGGGAUUAGCUUGUUGGUGGGGUAACGGCUCACCAAGGCGACGAUCCCUAGCUGGUCUGAGAGGAUGACCAGCCACACUGGAACUGAGACACGGUCCAGACUCCUACGGGAGGCAGCAGUGGGGAAUAUUGCACAAUGGGCGCAAGCCUGAUGCAGCCAUGCCGCGUGUAUGAAGAAGGCCUUCGGGUUGUAAAGUACUUUCAGCGGGGAGGAAGGGAGUAAAGUUAAUACCUUUGCUCAUUGACGUUACCCGCAGAAGAAGCACCGGCUAACUCCGUGCCAGCAGCCGCGGUAAUACGGAGGGUGCAAGCGUUAAUCGGAAUUACUGGGCGUAAAGCGCACGCAGGCGGUUUGUUAAGUCAGAUGUGAAAUCCCCGGGCUCAACCUGGGAACUGCAUCUGAUACUGGCAAGCUUGAGUCUCGUAGAGGGGGGUAGAAUUCCAGGUGUAGCGGUGAAAUGCGUAGAGAUCUGGAGGAAUACCGGUGGCGAAGGCGGCCCCCUGGACGAAGACUGACGCUCAGGUGCGAAAGCGUGGGGAGCAAACAGGAUUAGAUACCCUGGUAGUCCACGCCGUAAACGAUGUCGACUUGGAGGUUGUGCCCUUGAGGCGUGGCUUCCGGAGCUAACGCGUUAAGUCGACCGCCUGGGGAGUACGGCCGCAAGGUUAAAACUCAAAUGAAUUGACGGGGGCCCGCACAAGCGGUGGAGCAUGUGGUUUAAUUCGAUGCAACGCGAAGAACCUUACCUGGUCUUGACAUCCACGGAAGUUUUCAGAGAUGAGAAUGUGCCUUCGGGAACCGUGAGACAGGUGCUGCAUGGCUGUCGUCAGCUCGUGUUGUGAAAUGUUGGGUUAAGUCCCGCAACGAGCGCAACCCUUAUCCUUUGUUGCCAGCGGUCCGGCCGGGAACUCAAAGGAGACUGCCAGUGAUAAACUGGAGGAAGGUGGGGAUGACGUCAAGUCAUCAUGGCCCUUACGACCAGGGCUACACACGUGCUACAAUGGCGCAUACAAAGAGAAGCGACCUCGCGAGAGCAAGCGGACCUCAUAAAGUGCGUCGUAGUCCGGAUUGGAGUCUGCAACUCGACUCCAUGAAGUCGGAAUCGCUAGUAAUCGUGGAUCAGAAUGCCACGGUGAAUACGUUCCCGGGCCUUGUACACACCGCCCGUCACACCAUGGGAGUGGGUUGCAAAAGAAGUAG
This 1428-nucleotide ribosomal RNA is filed under the name Escherichia coli. Its description in RNAcentral is "bacterial SSU rRNA". It matches the Rfam family "Bacterial small subunit ribosomal RNA". The record is from RNAcentral. Lineage: Bacteria; Pseudomonadati; Pseudomonadota; Gammaproteobacteria; Enterobacterales; Enterobacteriaceae.